Molecule: long non-coding RNA, 2672 nt
Organism: Equus asinus (donkey)
Lineage: Eukaryota; Metazoa; Chordata; Mammalia; Perissodactyla; Equidae
Source: Ensembl
UUUGCAUCCAAGACAUUUACUUAAAACCCACAAACACCAUGAAGCUCACGCCGCUUCCACUCAAGGAGCUGACCCGCAUUCUGCUCCAGCUCCCCUGCUAGGCCUAUGCCCUCCUGGGGUGGGUGUGUGGGGACAUCAACCCUUGGUACUGUGACAAUGUUGCCUGGCAGGCAAAAGCUUCUGGGAAUCCCUGCAUUUCGCCAUAGCAUCUCUCCAGCUCUUGGACCUGGGUCUGCUACUGACACCCUUGGCCUGUUCCUGUAACCCCUCCCCUCCCCCUCCAAUCAGGAGGACUCCUCUAGGAACUUGCUGCAGGCCCCUCCUUAUCUCCAGCCGUGUCUGGGGAGGCCUGGUCCUCUGGCAAGUUCUUUAAAUCAUGUCCUUCCUGUGAUGCCAAGUCGACAAGCAGAUUUUUCAACUUUUGAUUUUCUUCACACCGCUUUAGGGAACCCUGCAGCUCAGACACUUAGACAGAUUUUUAUUAAUUUCCCUGCUGGCGUUAAGAGCUAUUGUUGUUAAUCUCAGCAUUCCCUCAGAGUCUGUCAACCUUUUCUCUAUAAGCAGGAUUUCCAUGGGCAGCUCUUCCAACUUCUGGUCAUUCUCUUGUUCAAAGGCAUGGCAGCCCUUGCGUCCUCUGGACAAGAGAACUCCCCACAAGAAAAAGGCUCCCCAGGUGAUAUGCCACCAGGACAUCAGGCUGAAGUCAGCCCCAGGCCCAGGGUAUUCAGCCUAUGUACCCACCAGCAACUCAGCACAGACGGACUGUGAUUUGAAGGCUCCAAGCUCGGCCAGGCCUUGGCACCUGGCCAGGAACCGCUGACCUUCCUGGGCCGGCCUCGCGCGGAGGCAGCAACCUCCGCCUUCACAGACAGCCCCACCCGGCCGCUCCGUGGAAGAUGCAUUUCUGCCUGGACCGGUGGCCUCGGAUUUCUCAUGUCUGGGUCAAGAUGCCCCACGUUUUGGUGUAGAGGAUGUUCUUUGUGCCUUAUUUCCUGGCCUUCCAGCUGCUUUACAGAUUGAUCGAAUGGUGGUGGGGCACUGGGGGCCUCUGGGACUCAUUUUUCCCUUUCUGGCGGGUGGGGCACCACCUGGGAGCCAGGGACAUGGGCAGGGCCAAGGUUGCCAGGAGGCGAUGGGAGGUUUCUGAGGCCGUUCUCCUCACUCUGCAACUUCCGGGCGCAGAUUCUCCCAUGCAGCACAGUGGUGGGGCCCACAACACUGGGACAAGGUAUUUUUCUUCUUCCAGCCAGCUCACCUGGGUCCGGCAGAGGUGCUGAUGGCCACAGGCAGAUGAGGACCCGGGGAACGGAUAGGGAAGACUUGGGAUGGGACACCGGGUGUCCAAAUGCGGGGUGGGGGUGUCCCUGAGGACGAGGAGUGGGGGUCAGCAGCUGCCUUUUGCUGCACUGGGUCGGAGGGCUCCUGGUCUGGGGGUGGCCAGGGGACUCAUUUGCCCUGUGCUGUGAUGGGUCGGAGGGCUUCUGGUCAGCUGGGUGUCUGGGGGACACUGCUACCUGUGCUCAACCCGGUUGCGAUGCUGGGAGUGCCCUUCCCGGCUGGGGGGGCGGGAUCACCGAAUGGGAACGCGGGGCUGAGGAGCGCUGCGGGCCGGGCCGCGGGGCCUUGAGGCUUGAGGGCCGGUGCGGGGACCUGCCGGACUGCAGAAGGCGGUGAAGGUGGACUCGAACGAGAAAGGCGGAGCGCAGGGUGUGGGCUAGAGGCCCCGGCAGGACGAGUGGGCAGGGGCGCGCUACCCUUUGGUGUGGGAACGAGGCAAAGAGCAGGAGGAGCUGAGGUGGAAGCGCCGUCUCUCUCCCCUCACUGAGGCCUGGGGCUGGCGCCCGGGCCCAUCACAAUGCCUCCUCGUGAUGUCACUACCGUGCCUGUGUCCAUUCGCCAGGAGGCCCUGAGCUUGGUUUUGCUGGUGCAGCCAAUCACCAGGCAGCUCUGCGAGCCCGUCGCCAGGUGGCUCUCAUUGUGGCCCUCCUGAUGUCGCCUCUAGGAUGCCAUACCCUAAGAGGCAGAUUGGUGUCCAUACUGACCCUUGCCCCUUGCAGCUCCAGGCUCCCUCUCCCCGGUUGCAGAGCCUUCAUUUCACAGGUGGAACAAAUGGGGGUGAUGGCAGCCUAACUACCUGCUCCCGGGACCUGCCAGGGUCUGAGAGCGGACAGAGGGCAGGCUGCCCUCAAGUGGUGUGGGUCCUCCCUGGGCCCGUCCAUCACAGAAGCUCCGCCCAGGGGUUUCUAUGGUGACCCAAGCGCCUGGAUCCUGACACUGCGAUUACUUGGUUUGCUGUCCCAGCUUCUCCCAUCUGAUACCGGUUGUGAGGACUGGACCUCUGGAAAAGGGAGAUCGAGUGCAGAGUGGGUGGGCUGCAGGUGGCCUAGGACAAGGACAGAGGAGGUCACCACCACAGCAUGGCUGAUGGCUGAUGAGUGGUGUGUAAAUCCAUGCCCGGGAUCUGAACGUGUGAACCCUUGGCUGCCGAAGCAGAGUGCACCAACUUAACCACUAUGUCCACUGGCCGACCCUACCAGGGAAUAUCUUCAAAAUAAACUCCCGGCUCCCCCCAGCCGCUAAGAGAUUGUGUUUCAUUCUACCUGGAGCCAAGGCUGAGACAGAUACAUUGAAGUCCAAUCUCCUUUUGUCCUAUGAGUUCUUUUUCUUUUGCU